This 465-nucleotide ribosomal RNA is filed under the name uncultured bacterium. RNAcentral's name for it is "partial 16S ribosomal RNA". It matches the Rfam family "Bacterial small subunit ribosomal RNA", at positions 28 to 507 of the family's 1533-position model. The record is from RNAcentral.
GAUGAACGCUGGCGGCGUGCUUAACACAUGCCAGUCGAACGGAAAGGCUCCUGCUUGCAGGGGUACUCGAGUGGCGAACGGGUGAGUAACACGUGGUUGAUCUGCCCUGCACUUCGGGAUAAGCCUGGGAAACUGGGUCUAAUACCGGAUAGGACCACAUUUUGGAUGGUGUGGUGGAAAGUUUUUCGGUGUGGGAUGAGCUCGCGGCCUAUCAGCUUGUUGGUGGGGUAAUGGCCUACCAAGGCGUCGACGGGUAGCCGGCCUGAGAGGGUGUACGGCCACAUUGGGACUGAGAUACGGCCCAGACUCCUACGGGAGGCAGCAGUGGGGAAUAUUGCACAAUGGGCGCAAGCCUGAUGCAGCGACGCCGCGUGGGGGAUGAAGGCCUUCGGGUUGUAAACUCCUUUCGCUAGGGACGAAGCGCAAGUGACGGUACCUGGAGAAGAAGCACCGGCUAACUACGUG